Molecule: small nuclear RNA, 24 nt
Filed under: Arabidopsis thaliana (thale cress)
Lineage: Eukaryota; Viridiplantae; Streptophyta; Magnoliopsida; Brassicales; Brassicaceae
Description: snRNA_05229
Source: RNAcentral
AGAAAACCGUGAUUUGUCACCAAU